This 425-nucleotide ribosomal RNA is filed under the name uncultured bacterium. RNAcentral describes it as "partial 16S ribosomal RNA". It matches the Rfam family "Bacterial small subunit ribosomal RNA", at positions 354 to 796 of the family's 1533-position model. The record is from RNAcentral.
GUGGGGAAUAUUGGACAAUGGGCGCAAGCCUGAUCCAGCCAUGCCGCGUGAGUGAUGAAGGCCUUAGGGUUGUAAAGCUCUUUCAGUGGGGACGAUAAUGACGGUACCCACAGAAGAAGCCCCGGCUAACUUCGUGCCAGCAGCCGCGGUAAUACGAAGGGGGCUAGCGUUGUUCGGAUUUACUGGGCGUAAAGCGCACGUAGGCGGAUCGUUAAGUCGGGGGUGAAAUCCUGGAGCUCAACUCCAGAACUGCCUUCGAUACUGGCGAUCUUGAGGCCGGAAGAGGUGAGUGGAACUCCUAGUGUAGAGGUGGAAUUCGUAGAUAUUAGGAAGAACACCAGUGGCGAAGGCGGCUCACUGGUCCGGUACUGACGCUGAGGUGCGAAAGCGUGGGGAGCAAACAGGAUUAGAAACCCGUGUAGUCC